CAGCCGCCGCGGGAAUACGUAGGGUGCGAGCGUUAAUCGGAAUUACUGGGCGUAAAGCGUGCGCAGGCGGUUUUGUAAGACAGGCGUGAAAUCCCCGGGCUCAACCUGGGAAUGGCGCUUGUGACUGCAAAGCUAGAGUGCGGCAGAGGGGGAUGGAAUUCCGCGUGUAGCAGUGAAAUGCGUAGAUAUGCGGAGGAACACCGAUGGCGAAGGCAAUCCCCUGGGCCUGCACCGACGCUCAUGCACGAAAGCGUGGGGAGCAAACAGGAUUAGAUACCCGGGUAGUCCCUGUCUCUUAUAC
RNAcentral lists this ribosomal RNA (301 nucleotides) under uncultured bacterium. RNAcentral describes it as "partial 16S ribosomal RNA". It matches the Rfam family "Bacterial small subunit ribosomal RNA", at positions 509 to 807 of the family's 1533-position model. The record is from RNAcentral.